ACUGCACUUAAACGCACCAACCGACACUCUCCGCACAGCCAGACGGAGGAACCACUGAAGGAAUCCAGAAGUUGACUGAGCCAAGUUCACAUACCGUAAAGAAGGAGGAGUAACGAGCCCAUUCUUAAACAAGGAGGGUUAACUGCCGCAGAAUAUCGAGCUCGGUGCCACGGGGGGAGCCUC
This is a long non-coding RNA of Notolabrus celidotus (New Zealand spotty), 183 nucleotides long. RefSeq lists it as uncharacterized. The transcript has 2 exons. The record is from RefSeq and is a predicted model, not a curated record. Lineage: Eukaryota; Metazoa; Chordata; Actinopteri; Labriformes; Labridae.